UGUGAGUGAGUUUAGAAGCAGAUUCUCCAGCCUGGUUAAGCCUUCAGAUGACUGAAGCCCCAACCAACAUCUUGAUUAAAAGCUCAUGAGAAGCCCUGAAUCAUAAUCACCCACCUAAGCUGCUUCUAAAUUCCUGACCAACAGAAACUUUGAGAUGAGAAUUGUGUCACAACCAGUGUCUCUGAAGAGGAUGUCUCAAGUAGAUAUUCUCGAACAGAUAGAAGUGGGUUCCCUAGAUAUAACAGAGAUACAAAUGUUUCAGGUACUCUGGUUUCAAGUAGCACACUGGAAAAGAAAAUUGAAGAUCUUGAAAAGGAAGUAGUAAGAGAAAGACAAGAAAACCUAAGACUUGUGAGACUGAUGCAAGAUAAAGAGGAAAUGAUUGGAAAACUCAAAGAAGAAAUUGAUUUAUUAAAUAGAGACCUAGAUGACAUAGAAGAUGAAAAUGAACAGCUAAAGCAGGAAAAUAAAACUCUUUUGAAAGUUGUUGGUCAGCUGACCAGUGCUAAUGUGUCCGGAAUUGGUGGGUUCUUGGUCUCACUGACUUCAAGAAUGAAGCCGCGGACCCUCGCAGUGAGUGUCACAGUUCUUA
RNAcentral lists this small RNA (592 nucleotides) under Pongo abelii (Sumatran orangutan). RNAcentral's name for it is "processed transcript". Lineage: Eukaryota; Metazoa; Chordata; Mammalia; Primates; Hominidae. The record is from RNAcentral.